Molecule: transfer RNA, 74 nt
Organism: Cavia porcellus (domestic guinea pig)
Lineage: Eukaryota; Metazoa; Chordata; Mammalia; Rodentia; Caviidae
Rfam family: tRNA
About the family: Transfer RNA (tRNA) molecules are approximately 80 nucleotides in length. Their secondary structure includes four short double-helical elements and three loops (D, anti-codon, and T loops).
Source: Rfam
UCUGAAUUAGCUCAGCGGCGUAAGCACCUGCCUUGCAAGCAGGCAGUCAUGAGUUCAAUCUCCAGUAUACAUAA